AACGAACGCUGGCGGCAUGCCUAACACAUGCAAGUCGAACGAGACCUUCGGGUCUACUGGCUCACGGGUUCGUAACGCGUGGGAACCUGCCCUUAUGCUUGGAAUACCUCCCCGAAAGGGGUGCUAAUACCGGUUAAUGUCUUCGGCACAAAGAUUUAUAGUCCUUGGAUGGGCUCGCGUUGGUUUAGCUAGUUGGUAGAGUAAAAGCCUACCAAGGCGACGAUCCAUAGUUGGUCUGAGAGGAUGAUCAGCCACCCUGGGACUGAGACACGGCCCAGACUCCUACGGGAGGCAGCAGUGGGGAAUAUUGGACAAUGGGCGAAAGCCUGAUCCAGCAAUGCCGCGUGAGUGAUGAAGGCCUUAGGGUUGUAAAGCUCUUUUACCCGGGAUGAUAAUGACAGUACCGAGAGAAUAAGCUCCGGCUAACUCCGUG
RNAcentral lists this ribosomal RNA (433 nucleotides) under uncultured bacterium. RNAcentral's name for it is "partial 16S ribosomal RNA". It matches the Rfam family "Bacterial small subunit ribosomal RNA", at positions 29 to 507 of the family's 1533-position model. The record is from RNAcentral.